Molecule: ribosomal RNA, 973 nt
Filed under: uncultured bacterium
Lineage: Bacteria
Description: bacterial SSU rRNA
Rfam family: Bacterial small subunit ribosomal RNA
Source: RNAcentral
GGGGAAGGGUUGCUCGGAUUACUGGGCGUAAGGGCGUGUAGGCGGAGCGGCAAGUCGGUCGUGAAAGCCUCUGGCUCAACUGGAGAAUGUCGAUCGAUACUGCCGCCCUUGAGGGUAGCAGAGGAGACUGGAAUUCCCGGUGUAGCGGUGAAAUGUGUAGAGAUCGGGAGGAACACCGGUGGCGAAGGCGGGUCUCUGGGCUACUCCUGACGCUGAGGCGCGAAAGCGUGGGGAGCAAACGGGAUUAGAUACCCCGGUAGUCCACGCUGUAAACGAUGGGCACUAGGUGUGGGGGGGGUUCAGUCCUCUCCGUGCCGCAGCUAACGCAUUAAGUGCCCCGCCUGGGGAGUACGGCCGCAAGGUUGAAACUCAAAGGAAUUGACGGGGGCCCGCACAAGCGGUGGAGUAUGUGGUUCAAUUCGAUGCAGAGCGAAGAACCUUACCUGGGCUUGACAUGCCGGAAGUAGAAACCCGAAAGGGGGACGAACUGUUGAGUCAGGAGCCGGCACAGGUGGUGCAUGGCUGUCGUCAGCUCGUGCCGUGAGGUGUUGGGUUAAGUCCCGCAACGAGCGCAACCCUCACCCUAUGUUGCCAUCAGGUUAUGCUGGGCACUCUUGGGGAACCGCCGGCGAAGAGCUGGAGGAAGGGGGGGAUGACGUCAAGUCCGUAUGCCCCUUAUGUCCAGGGCUACACACAUACUACAAUGGCCGGUACAGAGGGUAGCCAACCCGCGAGGGGGAGCCAAUCCCAGAAGCCGGUCUCAGUUCGGAUUGCAGGCUGCAACUCGCCUGCAUGAAGUCGGAAUCGCUAGUAAGCGCAGAUCAGCACGCUGCGCUGAAUACGUUCCCGGGCCUUGUACACACCGCCCGUCACACCACGAAAGCCGGUUGUACCAGAAGUCGCUGGGCCAACCGCAAGGGGGCAAGCGCCCAAGGUAUGGUCGGUGAUUGGGGUGAAGUCGUAACAAGGUAAC